GCUACUCAGGGCACACAGCCUAUGGAGCAGCCCUGAUCUGCAAGGAGCGGCAUCUCUGGCGCUGCUGUGCACAGCUGCUUCCAUGAAAGCUGCUGCCUAACACCACCAGCUCACCCUUGAAUCUUUGGGCAAAUCCAAGAACUCUCCCAGGCUAAGCCCCAGUCUUGGGGCUUGCCUGUCCUGCAUCAUCUGGCAACCAGCAAAGGGACAAGGACAGCGGAGAUGGUGGCAAUUGGCAGAGAGGCAAGACAGCAGAGACAGAGAGGCAGCAAUUGGUGAGAGACAAGAGACAGCAGUUGGCAAGACAGCAAGAGACGGUGAAGCAGUCUGUGAUUGAGGAUGUAAGAUCUGUAACACUGAGGAAGUACCAAUAAAGAGCUGCUAACACUACCGAGCUCUAACCCUAACCAGUGCCUCUUUUCACAGCCAUCAUCUUUCCCUGGCAGGUGGUGAAACUGAGUGGACAGCCAAGUGUCCAUAGUACAGCUGCCUCGUGUGGGACCCACUGCUCUAACGAGCCAGCCCCCGACACAGAAGCUGAGCACCCCCAAGCUGGGGAACCUAGAGAGACCUGCACCCGGGUCCCACGUGGAAGACUGGCUGGUGCCAUUUUGUCUUCUGUGGAUGGGUGAGAGUCCCCUUUGCACCCUCCCCCAGUAAUAUCAGGCACAAAGGAAGGGCACUACAACCACAACCAAUAUCAGUAAAGCUUUGGAAGACCUCUGCUACCUAUUUAAAAUAAUCAACACUCAGCCAGAAGAGAUUACCACAGUUCCAGAGACAAUGCUGGCACAAGGCUUCCAG
Molecule: long non-coding RNA, 804 nt
Filed under: Homo sapiens (human)
Lineage: Eukaryota; Metazoa; Chordata; Mammalia; Primates; Hominidae
Description: HSALNT0404298
Source: RNAcentral